This 2903-nucleotide ribosomal RNA is filed under the name Escherichia coli. RNAcentral describes it as "bacterial LSU rRNA". It matches the Rfam family "Bacterial large subunit ribosomal RNA". The record is from RNAcentral. Lineage: Bacteria; Pseudomonadati; Pseudomonadota; Gammaproteobacteria; Enterobacterales; Enterobacteriaceae.
UUAAGCGACUAAGCGUACACGGUGGAUGCCCUGGCAGUCAGAGGCGAUGAAGGACGUGCUAAUCUGCGAUAAGCGUCGGUGAGGUGAUAUGAACCGUUAUAACCGGCGAUUUCCGAAUGGGGAAACCCAGUGUGUUUCGACACACUAUCAUUAACUGAAUCCAUAGGUUAAUGAGGCGAACCGGGGGAACUGAAACAUCUAAGUACCCCGAGGAAAAGAAAUCAACCGAGAUUCCCCCAGUAGCGGCGAGCGAACGGGGAGGAGCCCAGAGCCUGAAUCAGUGUGUGUGUUAGUGGAAGCGUCUGGAAAGGCGCGCGAUACAGGGUGACAGCCCCGUACACAAAAAUGCACAUAUUGUGAGCUCGAUGAGUAGGGCGGGACACGUGGUAUCCUGUCUGAAUAUGGGGGGACCAUCCUCCAAGGCUAAAUACUCCUGACUGACCGAUAGUGAACCAGUACCGUGAGGGAAAGGCGAAAAGAACCCCGGCGAGGGGAGUGAAAAAGAACCUGAAACCGUGUACGUACAAGCAGUGGGAGCCUCUUAAUGGGGUGACUGCGUACCUUUUGUAUAAUGGGUCAGCGACUUAUAUUCUGUAGCAAGGUUAACCGAAUAGGGGAGCCGAAGGGAAACCGAGUCUUAACUGGGCGUUAAGUUGCAGGGUAUAGACCCGAAACCCGGUGAUCUAGCCAUGGGCAGGUUGAAGGUUGGGUAACACUAACUGGAGGACCGAACCGACUAAUGUUGAAAAAUUAGCGGAUGACUUGUGGCUGGGGGUGAAAGGCCAAUCAAACCGGGAGAUAGCUGGUUCUCCCCGAAAGCUAUUUAGGUAGCGCCUCGUGAAUUCAUCUCCGGGGGUAGAGCACUGUUUCGGCAAGGGGGUCAUCCCGACUUACCAACCCGAUGCAAACUGCGAAUACCGGAGAAUGUUAUCACGGGAGACACACGGCGGGUGCUAACGUCCGUCGUGAAGAGGGAAACAACCCAGACCGCCAGCUAAGGUCCCAAAGUCAUGGUUAAGUGGGAAACGAUGUGGGAAGGCCCAGACAGCCAGGAUGUUGGCUUAGAAGCAGCCAUCAUUUAAAGAAAGCGUAAUAGCUCACUGGUCGAGUCGGCCUGCGCGGAAGAUGUAACGGGGCUAAACCAUGCACCGAAGCUGCGGCAGCGACGCUUAUGCGUUGUUGGGUAGGGGAGCGUUCUGUAAGCCUGUGAAGGUGGCCUGUGAGGGUUGCUGGAGGUAUCAGAAGUGCGAAUGCUGACAUAAGUAACGAUAAAGCGGGUGAAAAGCCCGCUCGCCGGAAGACCAAGGGUUCCUGUCCAACGUUAAUCGGGGCAGGGUGAGUCGACUCCUAAGGCGAGGCCGAAAGGCGUAGUCGAUGGGAAACAGGUUAAUAUUCCUGUACUUGGUGUUACUGCGAAGGGGGGACGGAGAAGGCUAUGUUGGCCGGGCGACGGUUGUCCCGGUUUAAGCGUGUAGGCUGGUUUUCCAGGCAAAUCCGGAAAACCAAGGCUGAGGCGUGAUGACGAGGCACUACGGUGCUGAAGUGACAAAUGCCCUGCUUCCAGGAAAAGCCUCUAAGCAUCAGGUAACAUCAAAUCGUACCCCAAACCGACACAGGUGGUCAGGUAGAGAAUACCAAGGCGCUUGAGAGAACUCGGGUGAAGGAACUAGGCAAAAUGGUGCCGUAACUUCGGGAGAAGGCACGCUGAUAUGUAGGUGAAGCGACUUGCUCGUGGAGCUGAAAUCAGUCGAAGAUACCAGCUGGCUGCAACUGUUUAUUAAAAACACAGCACUGUGCAAACACGAAAGUGGACGUAUACGGUGUGACGCCUGCCCGGUGCCGGAAGGUUAAUUGAUGGGGUUAGCGGUAACGCGAAGCUCUUGAUCGAAGCCCCGGUAAACGGCGGCCGUAACUAUAACGGUCCUAAGGUAGCGAAAUUCCUUGUCGGGUAAGUUCCGACCUGCACGAAUGGCGUAAUGAUGGCCAGGCUGUCUCCACCCGAGACUCAGUGAAAUUGAACUCGCUGUGAAGAUGCAGUGUACCCGCGGCAAGACGGAAAGACCCCGUGAACCUUUACUAUAGCUUGACACUGAACAUUGAGCCUUGAUGUGUAGGAUAGGUGGGAGGCUUUGAAGUGUGGACGCCAGUCUGCAUGGAGCCGACCUUGAAAUACCACCCUUUAAUGUUUGAUGUUCUAACGUUGGCCCCUGAUCGGGGUUGCGGACAGUGUCUGGUGGGUAGUUUGACUGGGGCGGUCUCCUCCUAAAGAGUAACGGAGGAGCACGAAGGUUGGCUAAUCCUGGUCGGACAUCAGGAGGUUAGUGCAAUGGCAUAAGCCAGCUUGACUGCGAGCGUGACGGCGCGAGCAGGUGCGAAAGCAGGUCAUAGUGAUCCGGUGGUUCUGAAUGGAAGGGCCAUCGCUCAACGGAUAAAAGGUACUCCGGGGAUAACAGGCUGAUACCGCCCAAGAGUUCAUAUCGACGGCGGUGUUUGGCACCUCGAUGUCGGCUCAUCACAUCCUGGGGCUGAAGUAGGUCCCAAGGGUAUGGCUGUUCGCCAUUUAAAGUGGUACGCGAGCUGGGUUUAGAACGUCGUGAGACAGUUCGGUCCCUAUCUGCCGUGGGCGCUGGAGAACUGAGGGGGGCUGCUCCUAGUACGAGAGGACCGGAGUGGACGCAUCACUGGUGUUCGGGUUGUCAUGCCAAUGGCACUGCCCGGUAGCUAAAUGCGGAAGAGAUAAGUGCUGAAAGCAUCUAAGCACGAAACUUGCCCCGAGAUGAGUUCUCCCUGAGACUUAGAGUCUCCUGAAGGAACGUUGAAGACGACGACGUUGAUAGGCCGGGUGUGUAAGCGCAGCGAUGCGUUGAGCUAACCGGUACUAAUGAACCGUGAGGCUUAACCUU